This 253-nucleotide ribosomal RNA is filed under the name uncultured bacterium. RNAcentral's name for it is "partial 16S ribosomal RNA". It matches the Rfam family "Bacterial small subunit ribosomal RNA", at positions 524 to 776 of the family's 1533-position model. The record is from RNAcentral.
UACGUAGGGUGCAAGCGUUAAUCGGAAUUACUGGGCGUAAAGCGUGCGCAGGCGGUUUUGUAAGACUGUCGUGAAAGCCCCGGGCUCAACCUGGGAAUUGCGAUGGAGACUGCAAGGCUUGAAUCUGGCAGAGGGGGGUAGAAUUCCACGUGUAGCAGUGAAAUGCGUAGAGAUCGGGUGGAACACCAGCGGCGAAGGCGGCAUCCUGGCCCUGUACUGACGCUGAGGCGCGAUAGCGUGGGGAGCAAACGGG